UGGUGGAGUGAUUUGUCAGGUUAAUUCCGAUAACGAACGAGACUCUGUCCUGCUAACUAGGUUGUGUUUUCUCGGGUUGGUGUUUCUGGUGUUCCUUCUCGGGGCGCCGGCCCAAUCCACUUGUGAACACAACACUCUUCUUAGAGGGACUGGCGGCUGUUAGCCGCACGAGAUAGAGCAAUAACA
Molecule: ribosomal RNA, 186 nt
Filed under: uncultured eukaryote
Lineage: Eukaryota
Description: partial 18S ribosomal RNA
Rfam family: Eukaryotic small subunit ribosomal RNA
Source: RNAcentral